GGGCUCGUAGUCUAGUGGUUAUGACGUCGCCUUCACGAGGCGGAGGUCGAGGGUUCAAAUCCCUCCGAGCCCA
Molecule: transfer RNA, 73 nt
Filed under: Thermoplasmata archaeon
Lineage: Archaea; Methanobacteriati; Thermoplasmatota; Thermoplasmata
Also listed under: 1 other name
Description: tRNA-Val
Rfam family: tRNA
About the family: Transfer RNA (tRNA) molecules are approximately 80 nucleotides in length. Their secondary structure includes four short double-helical elements and three loops (D, anti-codon, and T loops). Further hydrogen bonds mediate the characteristic L-shaped molecular structure. tRNAs have two regions of fundamental functional importance: the anti-codon, which is responsible for specific mRNA codon recognition, and the 3' end, to which the tRNAs corresponding amino acid is attached (by aminoacyl-tRNA synthetases). tRNAs cope with the degeneracy of the genetic code in two manners: having more than one tRNA (with a specific anti-codon) for a particular amino acid; and 'wobble' base-pairing, i.e. permitting non-standard base-pairing at the 3rd anti-codon position.
Source: RNAcentral